AAAGUCGUAACAAGGUCUCCGUUGGUGAACCAGCGGAGGGAUCAUUACAGAGUUAUACAACUCCCACACCAUCUGUUAACCUACCCAGUUAUGCCUCGGCGUAAGCUCGGCCGGAGGCAGUCCAGAGCUACCCUGUAGCGAUGGCUGCACCACUCCGGCCGCGCCCGCCGGCGGUACACUAAACUAUGUUUUAUUUUAUCUUCUGAGCGUCUUAUUUUAAUAAGUUAAAACUUUCAACAACGGAUCUCUUGGUUCUG
This 257-nucleotide unclassified non-coding RNA is filed under the name Ascomycota sp. RNAcentral's name for it is "partial contains small subunit ribosomal RNA, internal transcribed spacer 1, and 5.8S ribosomal RNA". The stretch from base 1 to 47 matches the Rfam family "Eukaryotic small subunit ribosomal RNA", at positions 1785 to 1831 of the family's 1831-position model. The record is from RNAcentral. Lineage: Eukaryota; Fungi; Ascomycota.